AAUAUUCCUGAAGUAAGAAUUAUAACUGCUGUGACACAUGUGUCUCAGUAGGUGGCAGAGAGGAGAGAGGCUAUGUCGAUACUCAGUGUUCUAACCUGUGAACAUCUGAGUGAUGAAUAGUCUAACAAU
Mus spicilegus (steppe mouse) is the source of this 129-nucleotide small nucleolar RNA. Ensembl annotates it as predicted gene, 25422. The record is from Ensembl. NCBI's taxonomy places the organism in Eukaryota, Metazoa, Chordata, Mammalia, Rodentia, Muridae.